CUAUAGAACCGAAAGGAGAAAACUUAUUUGGUUUGGUUUGGUUUGAUUCUCCAGUUAUGGACAAUUCAAAAUUAAUCAAUUCUAGCAGCUCAAUUUUAGUGCAAAAUACAUUUUUUAAAGUCACUACUUUCAACACAAAAUACACUCAAAACAAUUAAUGAGCCAACUAAAAGGUUCAUAUAUAUAUAUAUAUACUCUCAAACUAAAUAUAUACACUGAACGGUUCAGUUCAGAAUAAGAACCGAGAGGGUCAAAUCGUGAACUAAACCGUUCGUUACUGUUCUUUAUUUUUUAAAACCAGAACCAAAGUGUUCCAUCUUCCUAGACACUAAACUAGGCAUACUUUUUAAUCAUUAAUUUUAUUUUUCCAUGCCAAUACUUUCUUAACAGUAUGGUAUAAAAAGUAUGUUUUGAUUUUCAUCUGACUCAGGAAGAUAUAUGCUCUUGACAUUUCUGGUGAAAUUCCCAAUGAACUAUUCAUGUUAAAGGAACUGCAAAACUUGAAUUUGGCUCAAAAUGUAUUAAGUGGACCCAUCCCACCUGAAAUUGGACAGUUAACAAAUAUGAAUUACCUGUGGACUGCUAAGUUGCCUGUAUCGUUGAGCCGACUCUAAGGUAGCGGUUACUGUGGUCACCCCCAAAUUUGGGCACUUGCCGGUCGCCGCUCCUACCUUUCUUGUCAAGGAAAAGAAGAAGAAGAAAGGCUCAGUAAUAGAUAUCUCUUUUUAUGAUUGACCAAGUAAACAAUUUUAAUAAUGCAAUUAGAUGAACUCACUCAUUCCAAUUGAGGACAUAUUUGUAAAUUAUAUAUUGGUCAUCCCUUUUUUCUUUUUUGACAAAACAAACAGAGCGUUAAUCGCAUUCUAUUUACCUGUUAAAUCCUGAACUAUCGGAUAAUAACCAGUAACAUCAUAAUUUCAAAAUGAUCCUUCAGUUUUUGUGCCCCGCGAUUCCAAUCCAACACUACCACAGCUAUUCUGGUAUAACAUUAACAUAAGACAAACUCAUAUUGGUUAUCCCUUGGAAUACCAUUAACUUAGUUUCAUAGGAACAAACUUAGAACUCAGCACUCAGAUGCAAGUUUGAGGGUGGGCUUUAGAAUUAACAUAUGGCAGAGUUGGACUUUCUUUUCUUGAUAAAUGAAUAAAUAUACAAAGAAUUACUGUGGGUUUAUUUUGAUAUAUAUUUUUUAUGCAGGUUGAUGUCAACCAGGUUAAAAAGCCCACAAUGGUGCUUUAGUGGCUGGGAAUGAAUGCUCUCAUUAUUUAUGCUUUGGGUGCUUGUGACCUCUUUCCAGCAGCUUUGCAUGGUGUCUAUUGGCGCUCACCAGAAAACAAUCUUUUAAUCAUAUUUUGGAGCAGUGGGG
This is a non-coding RNA of Camellia sinensis, 1366 nucleotides long. The record is from RefSeq and is a predicted model, not a curated record. NCBI's taxonomy places the organism in Eukaryota, Viridiplantae, Streptophyta, Magnoliopsida, Ericales, Theaceae.